GAUGAACGCUGGCGGCGUGCUUAACACAUGCAAGUCGAACGGUGAAGCAGAGCUUGCUCUGUGGAUCAGUGGCGAACGGGUGAGUAACACGUGAGCAACCUGCCCCUGACUCUGGGAUAAGCGCUGGAAACGGCGUCUAAUACUGGAUAUGAGCUGCGACCGCAUGGUCAGCAGUUGGAAAGAUUUUUCGGUCUGGGAUGGGCUCACGGCCUAUCAGCUUGUUGGUGAGGUAAUGGCUCACCAAGGCGUCGACGGGUAGCCGGCCUGAGAGGGUGACCGGCCACACUGGGACUGAGACACGGCCCAGACUCCUACGGGAGGCAGCAGUGGGGAAUAUUGCACAAUGGGCGAAAGCCUGAUGCAGCAACGCCGCGUGAGGGAUGACGGCCUUCGGGUUGUAAACCUCUUUUAGCAGGGAAGAGGCGAAAGUGACGGUACCUGCAGAUAAAGCGCCGGCUAACUACGUG
RNAcentral lists this ribosomal RNA (467 nucleotides) under uncultured bacterium. RNAcentral's name for it is "partial 16S ribosomal RNA". It matches the Rfam family "Bacterial small subunit ribosomal RNA", at positions 28 to 507 of the family's 1533-position model. The record is from RNAcentral.